AGUGAACGCUGGCGGUAGGCCUAACACAUGCCAGUCGAACGGCAGCACAGUAAGAGCUUGCUCUUACGGGUGGCGAGUGGCGGACGGGUGAGGAAUACAUCGGAAUCUACUUUUUCGUGGGGGAUAACGUAGGGAAACUUACGCUAAUACCGCAUACGACCUACGGGUGAAAGCAGGGGAUCUUCGGACCUUGCGCGAUUGAAUGAGCCGAUGUCGGAUUAGCUAGUUGGCGGGGUAAAGGCCCACCAAGGCGACGAUCCGUAGCUGGUCUGAGAGGAUGAUCAGCCACACUGGAACUGAGACACGGUCCAGACUCCUACGGGAGGCAGCAGUGGGGAAUAUUGGACAAUGGGCGCAAGCCUGAUCCUGCCAUACCGCGUGGGUGAAGAAGGCCUUCGGGUUGUAAAGCCCUUUUGUUGGGAAAGAAAAGCAGCAGGUUAAUACCCCGCUGCUCUGACGGUACCCAAAGAAUAAGCACCGGCUAACUUCGU
Molecule: ribosomal RNA, 491 nt
Filed under: uncultured bacterium
Lineage: Bacteria
Description: partial 16S ribosomal RNA
Rfam family: Bacterial small subunit ribosomal RNA
Source: RNAcentral